Molecule: unclassified non-coding RNA, 378 nt
Filed under: plant metagenome
Description: partial contains 5.8S ribosomal RNA, internal transcribed spacer 2, and large subunit ribosomal RNA
Rfam family: 5.8S ribosomal RNA (bases 1-105)
Source: RNAcentral
GAAAUGCGAUAAGUAAUGUGAAUUGCAGCAUUCAGUGAAUCAUCGAAUCUUUGAACGCACCUUGCGCUCCUUGGUAUUCCUUGGAGCAUGCCUGUUUGAGUAUCAUGAAAUCUUCAAAGUAAAUCUUUUGUUAACUCAAUUGGUUUCUACUUUGGUAUUGGAGGUCUUUGCAGCUUCACACCUGCUCCUCUUUGUUCAUUAGCUGGAUCUCAGUGUUAUGCUUGGUUCCACUCGGCGUGAUAAGUUAUCUAUCGCUGAGGACACUGUAAAAGGUGGCCAAGGUAAAUGCAGAUGAACCGCUUCUAAUAGUCCAUUGACUUGGACAAUACUUUUAUGAUCUGAUCUCAAAUCAGGUAGGACUACCCGCUGAACUUAGGC